AUUGUCUGGGGCAUAGCCCGAAGAAAUUCGGAUUAAUACCCCAUAAUAUAUUAGGAAGGCAUCUUUUUGAUAUUAAAACUCCGGUGGACAAUGAUGAGCGUGCGUCCCAUUAGCUAGUUGGUAGGGUAACGGCCUACCAAGGCGACGAUGGGUAGCUGGUGUGAGAGCACGACCAGCCACACGGGCACUGAGACACGGGCCCGACUCCUACGGGAGGCAGCAGUGAGGAAUAUUGGUCAAUGGACGCAAGUCUGAACCAGCCAUGCCGCGUGAAGGAUGAAGGCCUUCUGGGUUGUAAACUUCUUUUACUAGGGAAGAAACCUCCGAUUUCUAUUGGAGCCGACGGUACCUAGGGAAUAAGCACCGGCUAACUCCGUGCCAGCAGCCGCGGUAAUACGGAGGGUGCAAGCGUUAUCCGGAUUCACUGGGUUUAAAGGGUGUGUAGGCGGGCGUUUAAGUCAGUGGUGAAAUCUCCAGGCUCAACCUGGAAACUGCCAUUGAUACUAUUCGUCUUGAAUAUCGUUGAGGUAGGCGGAAUAUAUCAUGUAGCGGUGAAGUGCUUAGAUAUGAUAUAAAACACCGAUUGCGAAGGCAGCUUGCUGAACGAUGAUUGACGCUGAGGCA
RNAcentral lists this ribosomal RNA (624 nucleotides) under uncultured bacterium. RNAcentral describes it as "bacterial SSU rRNA". It matches the Rfam family "Bacterial small subunit ribosomal RNA", at positions 131 to 753 of the family's 1533-position model. The record is from RNAcentral.